This 3285-nucleotide ribosomal RNA is filed under the name Triticum aestivum (bread wheat). RNAcentral's name for it is "partial small subunit ribosomal RNA". Lineage: Eukaryota; Viridiplantae; Streptophyta; Magnoliopsida; Poales; Poaceae. The record is from RNAcentral.
GAUCGAUCGGAGUGUACACACGACCAGAUCUUCUUUGGUCAGUGCAGCGACCGCGAAAAGGUCAGAUCUGAGAUCCGAGCAGCUGAGUGUCUCGAAUAGAGGAGUCGAAAAGAACCCAUUAGGUGUAGGGGCUGAGGUGGAUCAUGGGUCCAUCGUGCUGGAGGGGCGUAGAGGGGCGUAGCGAGCGUCGGGACCCUGUACGACGGUGACGGCGGACGCGGGCGACGGCCGUGAGGCGGCUUAGAGGUAGUGGUGGCCAGUACGGCACCCGAGGUGUGGUCGAGGGAGCUGUGAGACGGCCUAGAGCACGUGGUGGUGACCUCGUAGGUACCACGUCCGUCAACCCGUCGGUACGAGUACGGUGGCCGGCAGAGCGGCUCGGCAGAGAAGGCCCUCCAGUACGUAGCCUUCUUUCCGGCAGAGGGGGUUCUUCUUCAUGGGUGACUGAGGGGAGCAGUGGCGAUAGGCGGCGGCUGGCCUGGAUCUACCUGCGGAGGAGCUCCGUUUCGAACGCGCCCCGACGCCGUUAGACCGGAAGAGCCACAGUUGUGUCAGACGUAGGUAGGUCAUGAGAUAGGUGGUUCACGCGUAACCACUAACACUAAUGCUGGAGGUGAAGGGAGGUAACGCGGACUGCGUACGGUACCGCGAGCGCGGGAGUUCGAGGUCGUGGUCGGGGCGGAAGGGCGAAGCGUGGCGUCGGGUGCAUGGAGACGAAGCCGGCGCAGCCGUUGGGGAGGCCGGGAGCGGUUUGGCCGCUGGUGGUUCUUGGGACGGUGGAGGAGCGGAGGAGAACCACGAACGGUGGUGGUAUGAAGGAGGACUGCGGAAGCCGUUCGCCGUUUUCGGAAGGAACCGAAGACGCCGCACAUGCGGCCGCGGUUCGCCACCGCGCACGGGUAGCCACCUCCAACACUCACCUAUUCUCGAUCAUAUUUUAUUCCUAAUUCCUGACGCCCGACUUAAGGUUGAUUACGUCCCAAAACAAACAUUUUUACUUUGCAAAAAGGUAUCACAGUGAAUGUAUCCCUAACGCCCAACUAAAGUUUCUUUGUUUCCCCGAAAAAGCUUUUUGUAGUUGCUGCCUGCUGGUCUUUGGGUUAAAAGAAAUAAUAAUCCAUUUAUACACUCAGGUACCUUAUAUGCGUGAGAAUUGAAAGGCGUUAAACGAUCGGAGAUGUCAUGGUACGUAACGGGAAAGAGUGUAGUUCUGCACCACGUUUGAAGCGUCCACGUAGGUUUGGGGCACUAUACUAUGCGAGAUAGUGUGUAUUCGGAAUAAUAUAGAAGGAGUUUUGUUGGUGGUAUGGAUCGAUAAUACCGAAAAGGUACCGGUAAGGCUCUAUAUAACGGUACGUUGAAGGUGGCGAAGACAAACUACUGAACUCGUAAGUAACAGUAUAACGAAACGUACUAGUAUAUCGACUGUAUCAUCAACACCGAGUCGGUGGCAAGUAGUGAAAAGUAUAUACAAUGCGAUCUAGUAACGUGUAGGACCAUGUAACGGUCUUCGUAAGUAUAUCUCAGUAUGAAACAGUAUUCAUAGCUCAACAGUAAAAAUAAAGAAAACUCAAUAUUCAUUUAUCUUUACACUACUAGUAGUAAUAAGUAAAAUCUCAUCACGGUGUCACUCCUUUCCUAUUACCUCUGAUACUAAGGGGGUGUUUAGCCCUACUCUGAGGCCUGUUACUCUCUUUUUUUCCUUUUCUUUUUCUUUCUUUUCUUAUCUUUCUUUUUCUUUAUUUUUUCUUUUUAUUUUUUAUUUGUUUCUCUGUUCCCCGUAACAAAUGAUACCUUUCAGAUGAUACAACAGUGAAAGUAUAUGAUCACCCUUAAAAAGUAAUAUCCUUAUCUACGUGGGGGUGAGUCAAAAGUAUAAAUCGAAAGUAUGUGAAUAUCGAGAAUCACGUAAGCAACGUACCGUUAGGGAUGAGCAGCGUAACUAUAGCUAACUACCCGUAGAGUUAUCGGGCGACCAAUCAGCACAACUACACUCUGAAAGAAUGAAAAACAGAAGAGAUAUAAAUGUGGAUAGUAGUAUGAGAUAAGGUGGGUAUCACGAUAUAGGUACCGAACGCGAGUACAUAACGCACUCCCAACUUUUUCAACUUCGCGCAAUUUUUCAUACUUGGUUAACGAGCCGAACACUAGCUCCAACACGUUCUAUUUAUGAAACACAAUACUUCUGUCUCGUACUGUUCUGAUAUACUAAAACAUCCCUAUCGAAAGAAAUCGUAACUAUAAAACUUUCUGUACUAACAAAAAACCCUACGGACUCAUAACUACAGAAAUACAUUUUAAUAUCUGAUAACCAAACUUAGUGAAUACAGAAUUAUAAAUACGGUACUAAUCUAUAUACUAGUUCAAAUACGAUCCAUCUUAAGGUGUAGUUUUUAAUAGAAAAAAUAGUAAAUGGAUGAGCUCCUGCUCGUUCUUAAUUCGAACUCCUACGACUAUGCAGAGGCAGCAUAGUUAUUAAAAACUAACAAAGUACGGUUAUAAUAUGUUGAAAAUGUAUGAAAACCGUUGAAAAAUAUACUAAAUAACCUGAUUGGAUAACUAGGUCACGGGUCACGAUCAAGGACAAAAGACGUACAAAAAACAUAGUACCACAUAGGUAUAGUUUGGUUCAGGUUUACGUUAUUUUAAAAUGCCUCUUAAUAAACCCUUACAUACACUAAAAACCAUCAACCUUAGUGACGUUUGCUUCCGAGUGUGUGUGGUGUUCUGUGGUCCCACGCUGGGGACUCGAUCCGCACACCACCACCCAACACGAGUGUAGCAUACAGCCAACCCCGAGAUGAAGCCCGCCUUCCUUUGAAUAUAGACCUUUUUUUGAGUACAAUUUUAGAGUCGCGUUAGCCUCAAUGCCUAGAGGUCCUUAUAUUCUUUACGAAAAGCCGGUCUAGACCUCUUGCGCUUUUUCUUCUCUUGUCUCUCCCUCUAGGUUAGAGCCUCCCCCAGGAUGGGGAGGCGAUGGUACCUCCGGUACCUGAUCUCCCCCAUUGAGAGGAUGGUAAAUGUCCCUCCGGUUCCUUCUUUUUCUUCCUCCCCCGAGAGGGGGAACGAAGGCCACCGCGGCCUCACGGCGACCCCGUUGUUAGUCCUGCUGCUAGAUGUAGUUGUUAGAACGAUGGCAGUUGUGGUUGAAAGAGGGGGAAAUACAUCACCACAUUAUGGAGAAGAGGGGCGACAUUAGAGAUGAAUUUGUACCACGAGUUGAGGUAUAUAACAAAGGGUUACUAGAUACCAAUAGGAUACUACAAACUCAUCUAGACAAAAAAG